Molecule: long non-coding RNA, 268 nt
Filed under: Vigna radiata
Lineage: Eukaryota; Viridiplantae; Streptophyta; Magnoliopsida; Fabales; Fabaceae
Description: long non-coding RNA (VRAD_LNC006482)
Source: RNAcentral
UGGGGUUUGUGAAAAUGUUGUGGUGAAUACAGAUGAAUAAAAUCAAAAUGCUGACGCAAACAGAAAUGCAAACAUAGAUCUAAAAACGGGUUCAAAGACAGACUAGAGACGGUUGGUUAGUAACUUAAUUACAAUGUUUCCUAUCAUAGACCAACAAAAUAAACCCGACUCAAACCUCUAAUCCAACACUGUUAACCAACUAAGCGAAGGCUAAUAAUGUUUUCAUAAAAGCGAACUAAGCGAACACAAUGUUAACAUCAAAUCCAAU